This 471-nucleotide ribosomal RNA is filed under the name uncultured Polaribacter sp. RNAcentral's name for it is "partial 16S ribosomal RNA". It matches the Rfam family "Bacterial small subunit ribosomal RNA", at positions 456 to 925 of the family's 1533-position model. The record is from RNAcentral. Lineage: Bacteria; Pseudomonadati; Bacteroidota; Flavobacteriia; Flavobacteriales; Flavobacteriaceae.
ARDNWDCUARCNAUUGGGCCGCACGCUCGCAUGCUUCCCGGACCGCNAUUNCGUGCCGCGNGCAAUUCGGAUUGGGUCCGAAUCGUUAUCCGGAAUCAUUGGGUUUAAAGAGGUCCGCACGCCGUCCAUUAAGUCAGAGGUGAAAUACCUAUCAGCUCAACUAUGGAACUGCCUUUGAUACUGGUUGACUUGAGUCAUAUGGAAGUAGAUAGAAUGUGUAGUGUAGCGGUGAAAUGCAUACAUAUUACACAGAAUACCGAUUGCGAAGGCAGUCUACUACGUAUGUACUGACGCUGAGGGACGAAAGCGUGAGGUAGCGAACAGGAUUAGAUACCCUGGUAGUCCACGCCGUAUACGAUGGAUACUAGUUGUUGGGCAUUAGCUCAGUGACGAAGCGAAAGUGAUCAAGUAUCCCACCUGGGGGAGUACGGUCGCAAGACUGAAACUCAAAGGAAUUGACGGCGGGCUCAR